RNAcentral lists this long non-coding RNA (270 nucleotides) under Prunus persica (peach). RNAcentral's name for it is "long non-coding RNA (PPER_LNC004530)". Lineage: Eukaryota; Viridiplantae; Streptophyta; Magnoliopsida; Rosales; Rosaceae. The record is from RNAcentral.
ACACCACAGUGCUUUACACGGCCUCGCAGCCAGCACCACCUUUAAGCCGCUAGGACCAGUAACCACUCCAGCAGCUGCCAUCGACAUGGCCUUGAGCUAGGAUCUGAGGCUCAUCACCACGAUGAAGCCACAGUGCACAGUAUAGCCACCACUCGCUGCCAUCGACAUGGCCUUGCGCUUGGAUAUGAGGCUCAUCACCACGACGAAGCCACAGUGCACAGUAUAGCCACCACUCGCGGCCAUCUUGGCUCUGCCACUAAUUACGCCCCA